UAUUCUCAGGGCGGGGCGAAAUUCCCCACCGGCGGUAAAUCAGCGUUAGCUGAAAGCCCGCGAGCGCUUCCUGGCAACGGGAAGGUCAGCAGAUCCGGUGUAAUUCCGGGGCCGACGGUUAAAGUCCGGAUGGGAGAGGGUA
RNAcentral lists this non-coding RNA (142 nucleotides) under uncultured Pantoea sp. Its description in RNAcentral is "FMN riboswitch (RFN element)". It matches the Rfam family "FMN riboswitch aptamer (RFN element)". From Rfam's summary of the family: The RFN element is a highly conserved domain that is found frequently in the 5'-untranslated regions of prokaryotic mRNAs that encode for flavin mononucleotide (FMN) biosynthesis and transport proteins. This element is a metabolite-dependent riboswitch that directly binds FMN in the absence of proteins. In Bacillus subtilis, the riboswitch most likely controls gene expression by causing premature transcription termination within the 5' untranslated region of the ribDEAHT operon and precluding access to the ribosome-binding site of ypaA mRNA. Lineage: Bacteria; Pseudomonadati; Pseudomonadota; Gammaproteobacteria; Enterobacterales; Erwiniaceae. The record is from RNAcentral.